This 323-nucleotide ribosomal RNA is filed under the name uncultured eukaryote. RNAcentral's name for it is "partial 18S ribosomal RNA". It matches the Rfam family "Eukaryotic small subunit ribosomal RNA", at positions 1470 to 1796 of the family's 1831-position model. The record is from RNAcentral.
CCCUUAGAUGUUCUGGGCCGCACGCGCGCUACACUGACGGAGGCAGCGAGCAUGUCCUUCGCCGAGAGGUGUGGGGAAUCUUGUGAGUCUCCGUCGUGCUGGGGAUAGAUGGUUGCAAUUGUCGAUCUUGAACGAGGAAUUCCUAGUAAGCGCGAGUCAUCAGCUCGCGCUGAUUACGUCCCUGCCCUUUGUACACACCGCCCGUCGCUACUACCGAUUGAAUGCUCAGGUGAGCCAUUCGGACUUUCAUCAUGCUGGUUUCCAGUUUUGAUGAAGGAAAGUCUUGCGAACCUUAUCAUUUAGAGGAAGGAGAAGUCGUAACA